Long non-coding RNA from Oenanthe melanoleuca, 1823 nucleotides. RefSeq lists it as uncharacterized. The record is from RefSeq and is a predicted model, not a curated record. Lineage: Eukaryota; Metazoa; Chordata; Aves; Passeriformes; Muscicapidae. The transcript is spliced from 3 exons.
CUUGCACAGAAAAGGCAGAGCUUAUUUUCAAAAAAUCCCUGGAAACCUGGGACUUUAAAGGACAAAACCAGAAAAAACCCAAAUCCAACAAAACCAAAUAUUUGUGGUUCUUCAAAGGUGCAGGCUCAAAAGAAACCGCUUCAAGAGCAGAGGAGUCUGCUAGGCUCUUUGCUGCUCUCAGCUGCCGUGGUAUUAGCUGGCAUGCCAUAUAAAUUGUACCCUGUGCCUCCCUCCAGGACCUGUUUCCAAAAGGUUGCCCCAGUUUUGCAGUAUUGCACAGAGCUUCCUCUCCAAAGGUUCAUCUACUUCAAGAGCUUUACAAAACUGAUAAUGUUUUGCAGGUGUCUUUUGGAUUCUGAAGCUCCUGGGGUCAUGUUUUCAAGCCUCUCUUCACAACAAUGCAACGCUCUUGCAGAAAAGACAAAUGUCACUCUGAGAUAUAUUAGCAGGGAUGCUGGCUAUAAGGCAAUAGAGGUAAUUAUUCUGCUCUGCUUGGCACUGGUGCAACCUCAGAUAAAGUAUUGCAUCCAGAUUUGAGUGCUGCAUUUUAUGAUAACUGCGACAAGAUGAUAAGGAGUUGAGAAAACAUGAACCUCUGAGAAAGGUUAAGAGAACUGGGAUUGCUUAGCAGACAGAAGGAACAUGUUAACACUUUGCCAACAUGUAAAAUAUAUUCAGAAGAAAUCAGUUUUACCCUUUCCCAUGAAGGGUAAGAUGUGAAGCCAUAGAAUUAUAGAGCCAUUAACCCAGCUCUGCCAAGUCCACCACCAAAGCAUGUGGCAAGUACCAGAUCUACAUAUCUUCUAAAUGCCUCCAGGGACUGUGACUCCACCACACUACUGGACAGCCUGGUCCCAUAUUUGACAAGCCUUUUGAUGAAGAGAUCUUUCUAAAUAUCCAAUUUAAACCUGGUGCAGCUUGAGGCCAUUUCCUCUCUAUCUGUUGCCUGGGAAAAGAGGCCAACCCCCACCUGGCCACAAUCUUCUUCCAGGCAGUUGUGGAGAGUGAUAAGGUCACCCCUGAGCCUCCUUUUCUGCAGGAUAAACACCCCCAGCCCCCUCAGCUGCUCCUCACAGCACUGGUGCUCCAGACCCUGCCCCAGCUCCAUUGCCCUUCUCUGCACUCACUCCAGCCCCUCAGUGCCUUUCUUGCACUCAGGGCCCAGAGCUGGACACGGCACUCGAGGUGUGGCCUCAGCAGUGCCCAGGACAGGGGGACAAUCCCUGCCCUGCUCCUGCUGCCCACACCAUUGCUGAUCCAGGCCAGGAUGCCAUUGGCCUUCUUGGCCCCCUGGGCACACCCUGGCUCAUGUUCAGCUGCUGGCAUCAGCAUCUUCCCUCACUGGUUCACACACCAGCUGUGUGAGGAAGUUGUCUUUCACACACUCCAGAAACUUCCUCGGUCGUUUCCUCCCCCCUGUGCUCAAUUUCCAGCAGAUAUGUGCUAAGUUGACCAUGUCACAAGAACAAGGGCCAGUGAUUGUUAAGACUUCUUGCAGCUCUUUAUGGAAUAUUACAUCAGCCUCUCCAAGUAAUUGCCUAAUUCACCACUCAAAUUUAAACUAAAUCUUAGGAGAAACAGUCUGAUUGCAAAUGCAGUAUAACACUGAAACCAACUUUUCAGAAGCAUGGAGUUCCCCUGCGAAGGAAAUUUUUAAGAACACAUCAGGCGAACUUCUGGGACACAUCAUGCAGUUUGUGAUGUAAUCCUGCUCCCCUGACCUGUGGGAAUAAUCUGCUGAUGUUUCUUCCCAUUUCUAGAAUGUUGUGGUUCUAAGAGUUGUAGGCAAGAAGCAAGAAUAGAAAGAGGAGAAGGAAGAAGAG